GUCUUUUUCUAGACGCAGCUGACGAUGUAAACAAGAGAAAACAUCCGAGGGCAGCGGGGCUCACACAGGCCGGGUUUCACGCAAAUGAUAGCCAUUAAGCACCCAUAGACGGCGGACAUGGGGCUCCCUGUUACGAUUAAAGUCAAUUUUCGGGGGAACGUGAAGAGGUUUCUGGCUCAGGAUAUGGAUAAAUUGGAGUGGGAAGCUGUUGAAGUCUGGAUCAAAGCAUCGUUUGGGAUCAACCACUUUCAAGUGAAAUACUUUGAUGAAGACAAUGAAGAGAUUUGCAUAAACAGUCAAGGUGAGGACAAUAUUU
Non-coding RNA from Neolamprologus brichardi, 316 nucleotides. The record is from RefSeq and is a predicted model, not a curated record. Lineage: Eukaryota; Metazoa; Chordata; Actinopteri; Cichliformes; Cichlidae.